GAUGAACGCUGGCGGCGUGCUUAAUACAUGCAAGUCGAACGAAGGGUUAGCAAUAACUCUUAGUGGCGAACGGGUGAGUAACGCGUUGGUGACCUGCCCCGAAGCGAGGGAUAACAGUUCGAAAGGACUGCUAAUACCGCAUGAGGUCGUUGAGGCUAGAGGCUUAGCGACGAAAGGAGCAAUCCGCUUUGGGAGGGGCCUGCGUCCCAUCAGCUAGUUGGUAAGGUAACGGCUUACCAAGGCGAUGACGGGUAGGGGACCUGAGAGGGUGGCCCCCCACAAUGGAACUGAAACACGGUCCAUACACCUACGGGUGGCUG
Molecule: ribosomal RNA, 320 nt
Filed under: uncultured Chloroflexota bacterium
Lineage: Bacteria; Bacillati; Chloroflexota
Description: bacterial SSU rRNA
Rfam family: Bacterial small subunit ribosomal RNA
Source: RNAcentral